UUUUAAGUCUUUAGGUUAAACAACUGCAUGCUGAAAUAAGAAUAUGUAAAUACAAAAUUACAAUUACAUCGAUAAACAAGAUGAAAGGGUUUUUAAUAUCGCUUAUUCUAAUUUUAUUAGAAGUGUCAAAUGUUUUGAGUUAUUUUCCUUACGGAUUUACAGUUCACAUAAGUUCUACCAACACUGCCACCAGCGAAAAUGAUGAAAACUCGUACACAGUUCGUCAAUUCUUUAAAAGGAAUUAUAGGACUUAAAUGUAAAUCCAAAACUUACUUAUUUUAACAGUUAUUUUCUAUACAAAUAGUUUUGUAACUAUUUUUAGUUAAGUAUAUAUCUAACCAUCUUUAUAGCUUCUAUCAAAUUGUGUGAAACUUUGUUGUCCUUUGCUAACUACCUUAUUAAGUAAAAUAUAAAAAACCAAAACGAAAAACUGUACCCACAAAAAUAUUAUGAGGUAUUAAUAUGAAAAAAAUGUCUAUAUUGCAAUUUUUUUAACAUUCCCAACAAAGAAGUAAUACU
Danaus plexippus (monarch butterfly) is the source of this 519-nucleotide long non-coding RNA. RefSeq lists it as uncharacterized. Lineage: Eukaryota; Metazoa; Arthropoda; Insecta; Lepidoptera; Nymphalidae. The record is from RefSeq and is a predicted model, not a curated record. The transcript has 3 exons.